CUACGGCCACAUCACGUUUAAAUAUCAGUUCCCGUCUUAUCACCGAAGUUAAGAAACGUCAGGCCUGGUCAGUACUUAGAUGGGUGACAGCUUGGAAAUACCAGAUGUUGUAAG
Acanthosepion pharaonis is the source of this 114-nucleotide non-coding RNA. The record is from the annotation of a GenBank genome assembly. NCBI's taxonomy places the organism in Eukaryota, Metazoa, Mollusca, Cephalopoda, Sepiida, Sepiidae.